Long non-coding RNA from Penaeus monodon (black tiger shrimp), 653 nucleotides. RefSeq lists it as uncharacterized. The record is from RefSeq and is a predicted model, not a curated record. The transcript is spliced from 3 exons. Lineage: Eukaryota; Metazoa; Arthropoda; Malacostraca; Decapoda; Penaeidae.
GUUUAUUUAUUUUUAAUAAAUAUAUUUACAGAUCUGGUUAGUAUCUGGGCUGAAGACGAUUUUUAACUUUUACCGAGAAAAUGAUCUGCAGCAACUACUCUCUAAUCCUUUUCAUGUUCCAUCUACCGUGACUCACUAGACAAAGAUCUGGAUAGUAUCUGGGCAGAAGAAUUUUAUUUAUUUUACCGAGAGAAUGAUCAGCAGUAAACUCCUCCCUAAACCUUCUCAUGUUCCAUCUACCUUGACUCACUAGACAAAGACUGGUGAUGAUGUAAUCGACAAGAUCGAUUUUAUACUGUACCUUCAUUGCAUCUAUGGAAGUAUCCAUGGAAACGCCUAUGGAUUCAAGAUCAAAUUUGACAAUGUAUAUGUUAUAUAUAUAUAAAUAUUUAUAUUUUACUAUAAUACACAUUAUAUGUAAGACCUUUGUAAAACCUAUUGUAUAGCGUACAAUAUAUACAAUAUAUAUAUUGUAUGUUAUAUUUUUUUUUGUGAUCGUUUUUCUUUUGUGGAUAUAUAUAUUAAUCAUCCUUUUGGAUGAAUGAUUGCUGUUGUUUCUUUUAAUUAUAUACCAUAUUAUAAGUUUUAUAUAUUUUUAAGAAAAUAUUAUACAAAAAUAUUUAUACUUAUGGUAAAUAAAUAAUAUAUAUAUA